RNAcentral lists this ribosomal RNA (511 nucleotides) under Streptococcus oralis subsp. tigurinus. Its description in RNAcentral is "bacterial SSU rRNA". It matches the Rfam family "Bacterial small subunit ribosomal RNA", at positions 17 to 510 of the family's 1533-position model. The record is from RNAcentral. Lineage: Bacteria; Bacillati; Bacillota; Bacilli; Lactobacillales; Streptococcaceae.
UCCUGGCUCAGGACGAACGCUGGCGGCGUGCCUAAUACAUGCAAGUAGAACGCUGAAGAGAGGAGCUUGCUCUUCUUGGAUGAGUUGCGAACGGGUGAGUAACGCGUAGGUAACCUGCCUGGUAGCGGGGGAUAACUAUUGGAAACGAUAGCUAAUACCGCAUAAAAUGGAUUAUCGCAUGAUAAUCAAUUGAAAGGUGCAAAUGCAUCACUACCAGAUGGACCUGCGUUGUAUUAGCUAGUUGGUGGGGUAACGGCUCACCAAGGCGACGAUACAUAGCCGACCUGAGAGGGUGAUCGGCCACACUGGGACUGAGACACGGCCCAGACUCCUACGGGAGGCAGCAGUAGGGAAUCUUCGGCAAUGGACGGAAGUCUGACCGAGCAACGCCGCGUGAGUGAAGAAGGUUUUCGGAUCGUAAAGCUCUGUUGUAAGAGAAGAACGAGUGUGAGAGUGGAAAGUUCACACUGUGACGGUAUCUUACCAGAAAGGGACGGCUAACUACGUGCCA